Molecule: ribosomal RNA, 118 nt
Filed under: Scleropages formosus (Asian bonytongue)
Lineage: Eukaryota; Metazoa; Chordata; Actinopteri; Osteoglossiformes; Osteoglossidae
Source: RNAcentral
AUGGCCACACCACCCUGAAUACGCCCGAUCUUGUCCAAUCUUGGAAGCUAAGCAGGGUCAGGCCUNUUUUUAGUUGAGUUGCUUAUACAAAAACAGUAAAAAGUUCGGUUCCAGAGCA